UUUUCGGAGAGUUGAAAAGCCCACCAGUAAAGCCAAAGAAAAGAGACUGUCGUGUGAAUGAUACACCAGUGUGCAUAAGCGGCAUCGCCAGAGUGAAUUUCAGUAGGUAAAUCUACUUAUGACCAACUUUGUUAUUUGAUUCUGGUGAUCAAUCUUAGAAUCCAUCUUUAAUUCAUUUGACCCUUUUUUGCUUUUCAGGUUGAUCGGAUUUUGGGCUGUCGUGUUAGAGGUAAUGAUGCAAGUUCAUUGUUUUAUGUUUAUGUAUGUAUUGUAGACAUCCUUAAGUCUGUUAGUUUACUUGUUCCAGAGAAGCAGGACAGACAUCGACAUAGUACUUCUGGCGAAAUCAACUUAGAUGCAGGAGACAGGGCUGGACUUGCUGAUGACAGAUAAGCUGAUAUAAGCAUUGACAGUGAUAUCAAACUGCACAAUCUGAAUGUUUUUCAGUGGUUAUUCUCUCAUUGGCUGGAAUUUA
Molecule: long non-coding RNA, 475 nt
Filed under: Eucalyptus grandis
Lineage: Eukaryota; Viridiplantae; Streptophyta; Magnoliopsida; Myrtales; Myrtaceae
Description: long non-coding RNA (EGRA_LNC005398)
Source: RNAcentral